RNAcentral lists this ribosomal RNA (641 nucleotides) under Gloeocystidiellum porosum. RNAcentral describes it as "eukaryotic LSU rRNA". The stretch from base 238 to 391 matches the Rfam family "5.8S ribosomal RNA". Lineage: Eukaryota; Fungi; Basidiomycota; Agaricomycetes; Russulales; Gloeocystidiellaceae. The record is from RNAcentral.
GUCGUAACAAGGUUUCCGUAGGUGAACCUGCGGAAGGAUCAUUAUCGAAAGAAAAGGUCCUUCGGGUUGUUGCUGGCCGCCCUAGGGAGGCAUGUGCACGCCCGUUGGGCCGUAUCCUUCUCUACCCCUGUGCACCUCUGCGUGGGUUCGUCGGCGUGAGCCUUCGGAUCCGCGUCUUAUCUAUAAACCCUUAUGUAUGUCUUCAGAAUGUCUAAUGCGAUAAAAAGCAUCUUAUACAACUUUCAACAACGGAUCUCUUGGCUCUCGCAUCGAUGAAGAACGCAGCGAAAUGCGAUAAGUAAUGUGAAUUGCAGAAUUCAGUGAAUCAUCGAAUCUUUGAACGCACCUUGCGCCCCUUGGUAUUCCGAGGGGCACGCCUGUUUGAGUGUCGUGAAAUUCUCAACCCUUUCUUUUCUUGACCGAAAGGAUUGGGCUUGGACUUGGAGGUCUUGCCGGCAUCCCCACCGCGCCUUACGGCGAGGAGGGGUUCGGCUCCUCUCGAAAGCAUUAGUGAGACCCCUUGCGGCCUCGGUGUGAUAAUUGUCUACGCCGUGGGCUUAGCUGUAGCGGGACCCGCUUCGAACCGUCUCUUCACGGGACAAUUUCUUUAUGAAACUUGACCUCAAAUCAGGCGGGGACUA